This is a long non-coding RNA of Clupea harengus (Atlantic herring), 4386 nucleotides long. Lineage: Eukaryota; Metazoa; Chordata; Actinopteri; Clupeiformes; Clupeidae. The record is from Ensembl.
UCCUUGUAAGUUGCUUUGGAUAAAAGCGUCUCCUAAUUGUAAAUGGAGUGUUGUGUCUUAACUGAUAAAUACUGAUGCAAAGAAAAGGACUGAAAUGCUGAAAUUUCAUAAAUAUUUAUUCCAUAUCAAUCAACAAAAAAUGAACUACUUUCACAGCAGUGGUCAACAGCACUUAAUAAAAUAAAACGUUCAAAUAAUAAUCAGAAUAAUUGUUUAGUUUUGUUUGAGGCCACAUUUUGAAACACAAAACAUUUACAAGUAGUACUGUAAGUACUUGGCAUUAAAAACAAUGGCGAUACAAUAUUUUAAGACACUUGGUGUUUUUUGAAGUGUUUUUUUUUCUUUUCUCUUUCGUUUUGAUAAGACCGAGGCUCCGUGACAGUCUAAACAGCACUUACUGACUCACACACGACACCACUGCUAAGAGGACCUCAGAGAAGACAGGGGUGGGUGCAAACAGAACAGGCUGAACAGUCAAACAAAAGAGAGAAAGACAACAGAAGAUAGAAAAAAAAAAAAAAAAAAAAAAGACAAUUUAUAUUUUUUUAUAAUUUGCUUAAUUAACUCUGUGACCAAGAGUCUUCUUCUGCUCAUGCCAGUCACUGCGGGGAUAGAGCUCAUAAAUAACAAGUACAGUUCAUCUGCAAAAAUAUUCCCAUAUUUUUUUUACCUUUUUAAAUCCCGUCCCUUUUUUUCGGACUGCUACUAGUGUUCAAAGAUUUUGUACAAAGAGAGGUGGAAUUGUGAAUGAAUGAUGAACAGAGAGAGAGGAGGAGUGUGAGAAAGGGAGGGAGAAAAAGACACAGACAGAAAGGGGUAGGAGGAGUGGACUAGACAGGUCAAAGAAUAGUUCUGUCUUCUGUCCACAAGAUGGCGCUUCUGUGCCAAACGCCACAGAAAAGAGGACACCUCUAUCCUGUACACACUGCCUUGCAGAUCCAAAGCAAGCAUGCUAACCCUUUAGCUGACAAUACCAAGAGACCCAAACAGCCCUGUAGGCGGUGUGUUCAGUCUAGACAGCUAGCUCUAAACGUGUUUUUGUUUACGGAUAUAAAAGUAUGGCUAAGGCUGAGCAGACGGCCACGUCUGCGUCUCCGUGACGACCUGGCACACUGUCUCCACAAGGCCUGAGGUCCCCACUUUAUCUCCGGUGUCCUUGUCAUGGUCUACUUCAGUGGUUCUCAAACUUUUUGUCCGGGGACCCCAUAAAAUCCAUUUGCCAAGUCUCGCGACCCCCAACACAUUUUGACAGGAUAUUAUAGGUCUAAAUUCAGUUUCAUCUUGAAUGAUGAGACUGCUUGCUGAGAAAAUAUUAGUUUUCAUUAUCCAUCCUGAUGUAGAAAACACCAUUUCUGAUAGACUAUACAGCAUGUCAAAGCCUAAUAUGUUGACGCACAGGGCAGCAAGAUCAUUUCGCGACCCCCAAAAAACGUUUGGCGACCCCACUUGGGAUCCCGACCCCUAGUUUGAGAACCACUGGUCUACUUAACUACGUGAUCAGUAAUCGCAUGUACUUCCCAUGAUAACCAUACUACUAACUACCAUACAUCCCACUAAGCAUCACACUACACUAAAAACCCAAGUUACUCUUGUGAUAGCUGAUGUGCUAACAUGAGAAGUACACUGCACUUAUCAUUCAAUAAUGUAUUAAGUACACAGUACUGAAGGACAAUUCAGCCAAAGUGAGACCAGCCUGUCUCCCUGAGAGGGCUGACCAGACAUCAUCCGCUAGUGUGGAGGUCAAAGGUGAAGGAGGUCAAAGGUGAAGGAGUUCAAAGGUCAAGGAGUUCAAAGGUCAAGGAGUUCGCUAAAGUCUCUCAGCUGAGAGAGGGUUCUAAGUCUAGCGCUAAAUAUCCAGCUCACCAUCUAAUGACUGCACCAAUGUGCAGAGGCAUGCAGGUGUUCGUGUUUGUGAAGCCCUUGGCAGGUGUUUGUUGUGAAGCCUAUGUCAGGUGUUUGUGAAGCCUAUGUCAGGUGUUUGUGAAGCCUAUGUCAGGUGUUUGUAAAGUGUUUGUUAAGCUUAUGUCAAGUGUUUGUUAAGCAUAUGUCAGGUGUUUGUGAAGCCUAUGACAGGUGUUUGUGAAGUGUUUGUUAAGCUUAUGUCAGGUGUUUGUGAAGCCUAUGUCAGGUGUUUGUGAAGCCUAUGUCAGGUGUUUGUGAAGCCUAUGUCAAGUGUUUGUUAAGCUUAUGUCAGGUGUUUGUGAAGCUUAUGUCAGGUGAUUGUAAAGCCUAUGUCUUGACUUGUAGAGGGGCAACGCGUGAGAGUUUCGGGUCACGUUUCAUGUAGAGGUUUGUAGAGGAGCUUGUGUCAUUACACUGACCUGGACAUUGAUUUUUUUUGCUGUUGAUAAAUCCUUUUCUGAAUUAGAAUCAUGAUUUACUGACUGGUAGAAAAUGGGAGUCGGGGUCAACUAGAGGCUGUAAGAAAGUGGCACUUGAGAGACUCACUGGCCCGGACUUCCUGAUACCACACACACCGAUAUAUAGACGCAACACUACAGAAGGUGAUGGAGAGAUGGAGAGAACAAGAAGGAGUGAGAGAGAGAGAGAAAGAGAGAGAGAAAGAGAGAGAGAGAGAGAGAGAGACAGAGAGAGGAUAGUGUCCAAAACAGUGAGACAUGAACAGCAUAGAAACAUCAUACAUUUACAGAUAUUACAUACAUAUAUUUAUAUUUAUAUAUAUAUAUAUAUAUAAAUAUAUAUUAUAUAUAUUUAUAUAUAUAAUAUGUGUGUGUUUUAUAUGUGUAAUAUCAUCUACAAAUACGACCUAUAAAGAUAUAUAUGAUUUUUGUCCACACGUGCGCACCCACCUAUUCAGAUGCUCACAACCCAAUAUGCAUAUAUUAUAUUUUAUUCUCACUUACACAGAAAGUAUCACAUAAUAUACAACAAAUAUAUGUAUUUAUAUAUGUAUUCCUUUAAAAAAAAAAAAAGAGAAAAUAUAAAAAAAAGAUACAACCAAAACAGGACACUCGGGGUUAAAGUCGUGUUUUUUGUCAUCGUGCCUUGGGUGCGUCAAUUUACAUUCAUGUUUGGUCUCCAAGGAAACCGUAAACAUUUACUUCUGUUGUUUGUUUGUUUAUGUUUAUCUUGGCUGAUGUCUGUAAACCAAACCUAUCUAGCCACUGUGAUUGGGGGCCACACUAAGAGGUUGCGGACCUACAGUAUAUGGUGGUGAUAUGGUGAUCACCUUCCCUUAUUCGAGCCUAAAUGCUUGACUGAUUCUCCUCCCCGCUCUCUCUUAGGAAAGGAGAUAAUGGCGACCCACAAUUCCUUGUGGCAGAAACAUCGAACAAUCAGUACGACCCGCGUCAAUAACAUCCGCCGUUGCAUAAUCACGUGGCCUAGAGCAAGUGCAGUGGGAUUCUCCUAGCACUGCGGAUGUCUUUCCCAGGUCCUUGUGAAUUCUCCUUCACAUCUUUCUUUGACCUCUUUGACGUUUUCCAUCAAGGUCAAGGAAAAAUAGUUAGGAAAAGACACAGGAUGUAUUUUUGGACUACCUGACCACAACCUUAGUCCUCCUCACGAGGACUUUUCCUACUCCUGAUAAAGUCUUGGUUCAAACAGAGAGGCACAUUCACGUAUGUCUAUCUUUAAACUUCUCUUUUCUUUAAACUUCUCUUCUCUAUAAACUUAUCUUCUCUUUAAACGUCUCUUCUCUAUAACCUUCACUUCUCUUUAAACUUCUUUUCUCACUAAACCUUCUUUAAACUUCUCUUCUCUAUAACCUUCUCUUCUCUCUAAACUUCUCUUCUCUUUAAACUUCUCCUCAGACUGCUACAAGUCCUUAGGUCUAGUCUGGGUUAGGUUUUAGUCUUAAUCCCUAUCUCAGGUCUGACUGUAUUUAAUAUGGGGACUGGGACACACACGCACACACACACACACACACACACACACACACACACACACACACACACACACACGCACAGAGAGAGAGAGAGAGAGAGAGAUAGAACAUACAUACAAGAACACACACCCAUGCACACAUACACAGAAGCAAACUCACCCACACACACAGACCAACACACACACACACACACACAACGAACACGCACACCACCCGAUUGAUUCUACUGCAUUUGACAUCCCACGACACACACCACAUCCACAUCUGAAGCCAUGAGGCUGCCACAGCGGCUGAUACAGGCAAACAACUGAAAUGAAACGGACAGGAAAUAAACAAACAAACAAAAAUCGCCAAACAACUUGGAGAGAGGGGAUGCCAUGGGAGAGGUGCAUUGUGGGAUUGUCAUCACUUUAGAUCCAGGAUGUCCUCCUCGAAGGAUGUGGCCAAGGGGUUGGUCAGGGGCGGGCUUGACUCCUGUGGCCCAGCCUCUGAGCCGGUGGAGCAGUGAAGCUGGACAUCUGAUUCGCCGUCCACAAGCU